This 325-nucleotide ribosomal RNA is filed under the name uncultured eukaryote. RNAcentral describes it as "partial 18S ribosomal RNA". It matches the Rfam family "Eukaryotic small subunit ribosomal RNA", at positions 1470 to 1796 of the family's 1831-position model. The record is from RNAcentral.
CCCUUAGAUGUUCUGGGCCGCACGCGCGCUACACUGAUGCAUUCAACGAGCCUAUCCUUGACCGACAGGUCCGGGUAAUCUUUGAAUCUGCAUCGUGACGGGGAUAGAUUAUUGCAAUUAUUAAUCUUCAAUGAGGAAUGCCUAGUAGGCGCAAGUCAUCAGCUUGCGUCGAUUACGUCCCUGCCCUUUGUACACACCGCCCGUCGCUCCUACCGAUUGGGUGUGCUGGUGAAAUGUUCGGAUCGGCCGUUUGUCGCGGUUUCCGCGGCUCGUGGCUGAGAAGUUCAUUAAACCCUCCCACCUAGAGGAAGGAGAAGUCGUAACA